RNAcentral lists this ribosomal RNA (253 nucleotides) under uncultured bacterium. Its description in RNAcentral is "partial 16S ribosomal RNA". It matches the Rfam family "Bacterial small subunit ribosomal RNA", at positions 524 to 776 of the family's 1533-position model. The record is from RNAcentral.
UACGAAGGGUGCAAACGUUGCUCGGAAUCAUUGGGCGUAAAGCGCACGUAGGCGGCUUGGCAAGUCGGAUGUGAAAUCCCUCGGCUCAACCAAGGAAGUGCAUCCGAAACUGCCGAGCUUGAGUACUUAAGAGGAUCGCGGAAUUCCCGGUGUAGAGGUGAAAUUCGUAGAUAUCGGGAGGAACACCAGUGGCGAAGGCGGCGAUCUGGGCAGAUACUGACGCUGAGGUGCGAAAGCGUGGGGAGCAAACAGG